GCGAGGUAAUCAAAAUCGACUGCUCAUUGCUCAAUCUGACAAUCUGUGUACAUUGACUGCUCAAUGUAUCAAAAUUGCUAGUGGAUGCAUUUCAAUCUCACACAGUUGACAUGAAGAAGUCAAAAAUGACAUUUGGUUUAGACAAAUAAGCACAACAAACAUGAUCUUGUGUACAGACUUCUCAAAUUUGUGCUAGUGUUACCUGUAGCAACUGCUACCGUAGAGAGUGUUUUCAAUAAUGAAUCAUGUGAAGAACAAGUUGAGAAAUAGGAUGGGAGAUCAGUACUUGAAUGAUUGUUUGGUAACCUUUAUUGAGCGUCAGUUCUUUUUGCAAGUCAAAGAUAAUGACAUCAUCAAUCGGUAUCAAGCAAUGAGGGAUCGGAAAGUUAAAAUUAAAUUGUAAUUUUCUUCUAAUGUUUUAUAAUCACAAUUUGUUAUGGAAUACAUUUAGUUUGUACUAUAUGUAUGUUUUAUUUAUUCCCUUGUGAACUUUUUAUGUCGUUCGUCUAAAUAUUUUCUUGCAAUGGGCAUACCCUACUCUGAAAUCCUGGGUCCGCCACUGCUCUGGAGGCCACUGCUAUGACAAUCCACUGGAUGUUGAUGCCGGUGACGAAGAAGUUGGCGAGGCCUUUGAAACACUCUCCCAGGUAAUUGCCUCCAUAUGGUAGUGAAUUGUGAAUGGUUGCCUAUGAUAUUAUGGUUCAAAAUGUAUGCUAGGGACUUGUGAAUGGUUGUCUCUGAUAUAGAAUUGUAUGCUAGGGACUAUGUCAUGAUAGGAGGGUUUAAAUUGUCGAUGCUUGCCAUUUAUUUUCUAGUAGAUUGACGUUGCAAUGCCUUAGUGUGACAUUUUAUUUUCUGGUAUAGAAUCUUUAUGACAGGGCCGAUUGGUCCGAGGAAAACACAUAUUUACUAUGAACUUGAUGUUGAUGAAAUAAGGGUAGGGAAUUGUUGUAAUGGAAUUGUGUUCAUAGCAAGUCCUUUGAGCAGUAGCAGUCGCAAGAGAACAAGCAACACUACAGACAUAGCUACAAGCCCAAACAAGAAGACUAAGAGCCCAAUGGUCAAGAUGUUCUAGGGGCUUCUAGUUGACGCCGCAGCGCUGGUUCGCAUGUGGUCAUGGCGCCGCCGCGAUCGCGGUGGGUGGAGGUGGGACAAGGACUGGAUGAUGAGCUUCAGGGAGAUCUGGGACGACGUCAGCUACACGGAUGCUGGGCUGCCGCGGAACGUUCUCGUGCUCGCCGUCGUGUGCCCGUCGGACCCCAACUAGGUCUACUUCGCCCUGGAGCACUGCCUCUUCGGCGUCAAUGUGCCGGCGCACAAAAUGUUGCACAUCGAUCCCUAUGAGCUAGUGAAUGUCCUAGGUCCGCCACGGCCAGCCUUCGGUCGCUACGUUGUUGCAUGGGAGCUCCCACCAGCGGCUGCCCAAGGUAAAUCUAACCAAUGGAGAUGUUUGGAUGUAUACGGUAUAACUAUAAAUUGUUGGAGGAUAGUCUAUUUGUAGCUGCGAUCCUAUGUGCAUGGUGGAGACCUUGUGCAGGCUGGGAUCGGAAUUGUCGAUACGGAGUUCAAUUUGCUCGGAGGUGCAAUGUUCCAAUUAAAUCUCUUGUUCGGCCCCACUAGGAGAUCUGGUGACCACUGUGGAGUGAAAUUCCUGAGGGAGAGUGCACUGAUAUUAGAUGAGCAUGCGACAAAGGGACUUCCAGCCUCGGAGUUCAUGAACAUGUUACGUGAGUCGGGUCUCCUACAGAACAAGAAUGUCACCUAGGUUACCUUUAUGGGUUAUCAAGAUUUUGGAUUCAUGAUAAAUCUCCUAACGAAGGAUCCAUUGCCAGAAACACGACUCCAGUUCCUGUUGCAAGUCGUAGAAUAUUUCCCUUCAUCAUUAGACUGCUCUGUACGGCAUCAAUGGAUGUCAGUAUCUCCUACUGUGAUUGCUUACUAUAGCUCGUAAUCGGCAACAACUCCCUGACUGUAGUAGUCCUGUGCAGUGGAAAUGAUGCUUGCUAAUUAGCAAUGGCUCUGUGAAGCUACGUGACUGAUGCUCAUUAUACUUUUGAGCUACAUACUCUGUCAGUGUGACUCGACCACUCUGCCAAUAUCUCGACCAAUAUUUUGCAGUUUUGUCUUAGGCAGGUGUUGACACUGGGAAAAUGUAUCAGCAAAAAACUGCUUGUAAGACAAUGAUGGGACAAAAAAUUUCUUGUCGGACAAUGACAGAGGAAAAAACUGUUGAAGUCAGAUUACUCUGCUUAAUCAAACUGCAUCAAUGUACCUUUUUUGUCCCAAGGAGAAAUGGAAGCAUGAAGCAGAAUCUAGUGACAUUUAAUACCUGAAUAUGUCAAUUCCAGAUGGGAUGCGAAUAGCUUUGUCCCAAAAGGAAACCACCACGGCCAGCAAUCCCAAUAAAAACCACGUAACUCAUUCCAGGAGCAGUACAACUCCUUUUUCAGAGAAAUCUCUUUCAGUCAAAUUACUAAUAGAUCCGUAGACACAUCAUGCUUACUGAUAGACAAAAUAGGGAUUUGCAGGUGAAUCUAACCAAUGGAGAUGUGUGGAUGUAUACGGUAUAUCUAUCAAUUGUUGGAGGAUAGUCUAUUUGCAGCUGUGAUCCUAUGUGCAUGGUGGAGACCUUGUGCAGGUUGGGAUCGGAAUUGCCGAUACGGAGUUCAAUUUGCUCGGAGGUGCAAUGUUCCAAUUAAAUCUCUUGUUCGACCCCACUAGGAGAUCUGGUGACCACUGUGGAGUGAAAUUCUUGAGGGAGAGUGGACUGAUAUUAGAGGAGCAUGCGACAAAGGGACUUCCAGCCUCGGAGUUCAAGAACAUUUUACGUGAGUCCGGUCUCCUGCAGAACAAGAGUGUCACCUGGGUUACCUUUAUGGGCUAUCAAGAUUUUGGACUCAUGAUAAAUCUCCUAACGAAGGAUCCAUUGCCAGAAACACGACUCUAGUUCCUGUUGCAAGUCGUAGAGUAUUUCCCUUCAUCAUUUGAAUGCAAGUCGUUCUCAAAGUACGACAAGUGCAUCAACAAGGAGAGAGUUCCGGGAAAGCUUGAUGCGGUUGCUAAAGAACUUGGAGCGAAGAGGACUGGGAAGGGGCACCAGGCUGCCUCUGACGCCCUGCUUAGUUUGAGAUGUCUUCAGCGGCCAAAGGGACUUGCUCCAGAUCCAGUAUUUCUACAAGAAUACCUGCGGCGUUCGUUACGGCGUCUAUGGAUGUCAGUAUCUCCUACUGUGAUUGCUUACUGUAGCUCGUAAUCGGAAACAACUCCCUGACUGUAGUAGUGCUGUGCAGUGGAAAUGAUGCUUGCUAAUUGGCAAUGGCUCUGUGAAGCUACGUGACUGAUGCUCAUUAUACUUUUGAGCUACAUAGUCUUUCAGUGUGACUCGACCGCUCUGCCCAAAUCUCGACCAACAUUCUGCAGUUUUGUCUUAGGCAGGUGUUAACACUGGGAUAAUGUAUCAGCACAAAUUUGCUUGGAGGACAAUGAUAGCGACAAAAACAUUUCUCGUCGGACAAUGAUAAAGGAAAAAUAUUGUUGAAGUCAGAUUACUCUGCUUAAUCAAACUGCAUCAAUGUACCUUUUUUGUCCCAAAGGAAAAAUGGAAGCAUGAAGCAGAAUCUAGUGACAUUUAAUACCUGAGUAUGUCAAUUUCAGAUGGGAUGUGAAUAGCUUUGUCCCAAAAGGAAACCACCACGACCAGCAAUCCUAAUAAAAAGCACGUAACUCAUUCCAGGAGCAGCACAACUCUUUUUUUAGAGAAAUCUCUUUCAGUCAAAUUACUAAUAGAUCCGUAGACAGAUCAUACUUACAGAUAGACCAAAUAUGGAUUUGCAGGUAAAUCUAACCAAUGAAGAUGUUUGGAUGUAUACGGUAUAACUAUAAAUUGUUGGAGGAUAGUCUAUUUGCAGCUGCGAUCCUAUGUGCAUGGUGGAGAUCUUGUGCAGGCUGGGAUCUAUUGCCGAUACGGAGUUCAAUUUGCUCGGAGGUGCAAUGUUCCAAUUAAAUCUCUUGUUCGGCCACACUAGGAGAUCUGGUGACCACUGUGGAGUGAAAUUCCUGAGGGAGAGUGAACUGAUAUUAGUGGAGCAUGCGACAAAGGGACUUCCAGCCUCGGAGUUCAAGAACAUGUUACGUGAGUCCGGUCUCCUGCAGAACAAGAAUGUCACCUGGGUUACCUUUAUGGGUUAUCAAGAUUUUGGACUCAUUAUAAAUCUCCUAACGAAGGAUCCAUUGCCAGAAACACGACUCCAGUUCCUGUAGCAAGUCGUAGAGUAUUUCCCUUCAUCAUUUGACUGCAAGUCGUUCUCAAAGUACGGCAAGUGUAUUAACAAGGAGAGAGUUCCGGGAAAGCUUUAUGCGGUUGCUACAGAACUUGGAGCGAAGAGGACUGGGAAGGGGCACCAGGCUGCCUCUGACGCCCUGCUUAGUUUGAGAUGUCUUCAGCGGCCAAAGGGAAUUGCUCCAGAUCCAGUAUUUCUACAAGAAUACCUGCGGCGUUCUUUACGGCGUCUAUGGAUGUCAGCAUCUCCUACUGUGAUUGCUUACUGUAGCUCGUAAUCGGCAACAACUCCCUGACUAUAGUAGUCCCGUGCAGUGGAAAUAAUGCUUGCUAAUUGGCAAUGGCUCUGUGAAGCUACGUGACUGAUGCUCAUUAUACUUUUGAGCUACAUACUCUUUCAGUGUGACUCGACCGCUCUGCCCAAAUCUCGACCAACAUUCUGUAGUUUUUUCUUAGGCAGGUGUUGACACUGGGAUAAUGUAUCAGCACAAAUUUGCUUGGAGGACAAUGAUAGCGACAAAAACAUUUGUCGUCGGACAAUGAUAGAGGAAAAAUAUUGUUGAAGUUAGAUUACUCUGCUUAAUCAAACUGCAUCAAUGUACCUUUUUUGUCCCAAGGAAAAAUGGAAGCAUGAAGCAGAAUCUAGUGACAUUUAAUACCUGAGUAUGUCAAUUUCAGAUGGGAUGUGAAUAGCUUUGUCCCAAAAGGAAACCACCACGACCAGCAAUCCCAAUAAAAAGCACGUAACUCAUUCCAGGAGCAGCACAACUCCUUUUUUAGAGAAAUCUCUUUCAGUCAAAUUACUAAUAGAUCCGUAGACAGAUCAUGCUUACAGAUAGACCAAAUAUGGAUUUGCAGGUAAAUCUAACCAAUGGAGAAGUUUGGAUGUAUACGGUAUAACUAUAAAUUGUUGGAGGAUAGUCUAUUUGCAGCUGCGAUCCUAUGUGCAUGGUGGAGACCUUGUGCAGGCUGGGAUCGGAAUUGCUGAUACGGAGUUCAAUUUGCUCGGAGGUGCAAUGUUCCAAUUAAAUCUCUUGUUCGGCCCCACUAGGAGAUCUGGUGACCACUGUGGAGUGAAAUUCCUGAGGGAGAGUGCACUGAUAUUAGAGGAGCAUGCGACAAAGGGACUUCCAGCCUCGGAGUUCAAGAACAUGUUACGUGAGUCCGGUCUCCUGCAGAACAAGAAUGUCACCUGGGUUACCUUUGUGGGUUAUCAAGAUUUUGAACUCAUGAUAAAUCUCCUAACGAAGGAUCCAUUGCCAGAAACACGACUCCAGUUCCUGUUGCAAGUCGUAGAGUAUUUCCCUUCAUCAUUUGACUGCAAGUCGUUCUCAAAGUACGGCAAGUGUAUCAACAAGGAGAUAGUUCCGGGAAAGAUUGAUGCGGUUGCUACAGAACUUGGAGCGAAGAGGACUGGGAAGGGGCACCAGGCUGCCUCUGACGCCCUGCUUAGUUUGAGAUGUCUUCAGCGGCCAAAGGGACUUGCUCCAGAUCCAGUAUUUCUACAAGAAUACCUGCGGCGUUCUUUACGGCGUCUAUGGAUGUCAGCAUCUCCUACUGUGAUUGCUUACUGUAGCUCGUAAUCGGCAACAACUCCCUGACUGUAGUAGUCCUGUGCAGUGGAAAUGAUGCUUGCUAAUUGGCAAUGGCUCUGUGAAGCUAUUGCUUACUGUAGCUCGUAAUCGGCAACAACUCCCUGACUGUAGUAGUCCUGUGCAGUGGAAAUGAUGCUUGCUAAUUGGCAAUGGCUCUGUGAAGCUACGUGACUGAUGCUCAUUAUACUUUUGAGCUACAUACUCUUUCAGUGUGGCUCGACCGCUCUGCCCAAAUCUCGACCAACAUUCUGUAGUUUUAUCUUAGGCAGGUGUUGACAACUGGAUAAUGUAUCGGCACAAAUUUGCUUGGAGAACAAUGAUAGCGACAAAAACAUUUGUCGUCGGACAAUGAUAGAGGAAAAAUAUUGUUGAAGUCAGAUUACUCUGCUUAAUCAAACUGCAUCAAUGUACCUUUUUUGUCCCAAAGGAAAAAUGGAAGCAUGAAGCAAAAUCUAGUGACAUUUAAUACCUGAGUAUGUCAAUUUCAGAUGGGAUGUGAAUAGCUUUGUCCCAAAAGGAAACCACCACGACCAGCAAUCCUAAUAAAAAGCACGUAACUCAUUCCAGGAGCAGCACAACUCUUUUUUUAGAGAAAUCUCUUUCAGUCAAAUUACUAAUAGAUCCGUAGACAGAUCAUACUUACAGAUAGACCAAAUAUGGAUUUGCAGGUAAAUCUAACCAAUGGAGAUGUUUGGAUGUAUACGGUAUAACUAUAAAUUGUUGGAGGAUAGUCUAUUUGCAGCUGCGAUCCUAUGUGCAUGGUGGAGAUCUUGUGCAGGCUGGGAUCUAUUGCCGAUACGGAGUUCAAUUUGCUCGGAGGUGCAAUGUUCCAAUUAACUCUCUUGUUCGGCCCCACUAGGAGAUCUGGUGACCACUGUGGAGUGAAAUUCCUGAGGGAGAGUGAACUGAUAUUAGUGGAGCAUGCGACAAAGGGACUUCCAGCCUCGGAGUUCAAGAACAUGUUACGUGAGUCCGGUCUCCUGCAGAACAAGAAUGUCACCUGGGUUACCUUUAUGGGUUAUCAAGAUUUUGGACUCAUUAUAAAUCUCCUAACGAAGGAUCCAUUGCCAGAAACACGACUCCAGUUCCUGUAGCAAGUCGUAGAGUAUUUCCCUUCAUCAUUUGACUGCAAGUCGUUCUCAAAGUACGGCAAGUGUAUCAACAAGGAGAGAGUUCCGGGAAAGCUUUAUGCGGUUGCUACAGAACUUGGAGCGAAGAGGACUGGGAAGGGGCACCAGGCUGCCUCUGACGCCCUGCUUAGUUUGAGAUGUCUUCAGCGGCCAAAGGGAAUUGCUCCAGAUCCAGUAUUUCUACAAGAAUACCUGCGGCGUUCUUUACGGCGUCUAUGGAUGUCAGCAUCUCCUACUGUGAUUGCUUACUGUAGCUCGUAAUCGGCAACAACUCCCUGACUGUAGUAGUCCCGUGCAGUAGAAAUGAUGCUUGCUAAUUGGCAAUGGCUCUGUGAAGCUACGUGACUGAUGCUCAUUAUACUUUUGAGCUACAUACUCUUUCAGUGUGACUCGACCGCUCUGCCCAAAUCUCGACCAACAUUCUGUAGUUUUGUCUUAGGCAGGUGUUGACACUGGGAUAAUGUAUCAGCACAAAUUUGCUUGGAGGACAAUGAUAGCGACAAAAACAUUUGUCGUCGGACAAUGAUAGAGGAAAAAUAUUGUUGAAGUCAGAUUACUCUGCUUAAUCAAACUGCAUCAAUGUACCUUUUUUGUCCCAAGGAAAAAUGGAAGCAUGAAGCAGAAUCUAGUGACAUUUAAUACCUGAGUAUGUCAAUUUCAGAUGGGAUGUGAAUAGCUUUGUCCCAAAAGGAAACCACCACGACCAGCAAUCCCAAUAAAAAGCACGUAACUCAUUCCAGGAGCAGCACAACUCCUUUUUUAGAGAAAUCUCUUUCAGUCAAAUUACUAAUAGAUCCGUAGACAGAUCAUGCUUACAGAUAGACCAAAUAUGGAUUUGCAGGUAAAUCUAACCAAUGGAGAAGUUUGGAUGUAUACGGUAUAACUAUAAAUUGUUGGAGGAUAGUCUAUUUGCAGCUGCGAUCCUAUGUGCAUGGUGGAGACCUUGUGCAGGCUGGGAUCGGAAUUGCUGAUACGGAGUUCAAUUUGCUCGGAGGUGCAAUGUUCCAAUUAAAUCUCUUGUUCGGCCCCACUAGGAGAUCUGGUGACCACUGUGGAGUGAAAUUCCUGAGGGAGAGUGCACUGAUAUUAGAGGAGCAUGCGACAAAGGGACUUCCAGCCUCGGAGUUCAAGAACAUGUUACGUGAGUCCGGUCUCCUGCAGAACAAGAAUGUCACCUGGGUUACCUUUAUGGGUUAUCAAGAUUUUGGACUCAUUAUAAAUCUCCUAACGAAGGAUCCAUUGCCAGAAACACGACUCCAGUUCCUGUUGCAAGUCGUAGAGUAUUUCCCUUCAUCAUUUGACUGCAAGUCGUUCUCAAAGUACGGCAAGUGUAUCAACAAGGAGAGAGUUCCGGGAAAGCUUUAUGCGGUUGCUACAGAACUUGGAGCGAAGAGGACUGGGAAGGGGCACCAGGCUGCCUCUGACGCCCUGCUUAGUUUGAGAUGUCUUCAGCGGCCAAAGGGACUUGCUCCAGAUCCAGUAUUUCUACAAGAAUACCUGCGGCGUUCUUUACGGCGUCUAUGGAUGUCAGCAUCUCCUACUGUGAUUGCUUACUGUAGCUUGUAAUCGGCAACAACUCCCUGACUGUAGUAGUGCUGUGCAGUGGAAAUGAUGCUUGCUAAUUGGCAAUGGCUCUGUGAAGCUACGUGACUGAUGCUCAUUAUACUUUUGAGCUACAUAGUCUUUCAGUGUGACUCGACCGCUCUGCCCAAAUCUCGACCAACAUUCUGUAGUUUUGUCUUAGGCAGGUGUUGACACUGGGAUAAUGUAUCAGCACAAAUUUGCUUGGAGGACAAUGAUAGCGACAAAAACAUUUGUCGUCGGACAAUGAUAGAGGAAAAAUAUUGUUGAAGUCAGAUUACUCUGCUUAAUCAAACUGCAUCAAUGUACCUUUUUUGUCCCAAGGAAAAAUGGAAGCAUGAAGCAGAAUCUAGUGACAUUUAAUACCUGAGUAUGUCAAUUUCAGAUGGGAUGUGAAUAGCUUUGUCCCAAAAGGAAACCACCACGACCAGCAAUCCCAAUAAAAAGCACGUAACUCAUUCCAGGAGCAGCACAACUCCUUUUUUAGAGAAAUCUCUUUCAGUCAAAUUACUAAUAGAUCCGUAGACAGAUCAUGCUUACAGAUAGACCAAAUAUGGAUUUGCAGGUAAAUCUAACCAAUGGAGAAGUUUGGAUGUAUACGGUAUAACUAUAAAUUGUUGGAGGAUAGUCUAUUUGCAGCUGCGAUCCUAUGUGCAUGGUGGAGACCUUGUGCAGGCUGGGAUCGGAAUUGCCGAUACGGAGUUCAAUUUGCUCGGAGGUGCAAUGUUCCAAUUAAAUCUCUUGUUCGGCCCCACUAGGAGAUCUGGUGACCACUGUGGAGUGAAAUUCCUGAGGGAGAGUGCACUGAUAUUAGAGGAGCAUGCGACAAAGGGACUUCCAGCCUCGGAGUUCAAGAACAUGUUACGUGAGUCCGGUCUCCUGCAGAACAAGAAUGUCACCUGGGUUACCUUUGUGGGUUAUCAAGAUUUUGAACUCAUGAUAAAUCUCCUAACGAAGGAUCCAUUGCCAGAAACACGACUCCAGUUCCUGUUGCAAGUCGUAGAGUAUUUCCCUUCAUCAUUUGACUGCAAGUCGUUCUCAAAGUACGGCAAGUGUAUCAACAAGGAGAGAGUUCCGGGAAAGCUUGAUGCGGUUGCUACAGAACUUGGAGCGAAGAGGACUGGGAAGGGGCACCAGGCUGCCUCUGACGCCCUGCUUAGUUUGAGAUGUCUUCAGCGGCCAAAGGGACUUGCUCCAGAUCCAGUAUUUCUACAAGAAUACCUGCGGCGUUCUUUACGGCGUCUAUGGAUGUCAGCAUCUCCUACUGUGAUUGCUUACUGUAGCUUGUAAUCGGCAACAACUCCCUGACUGUAGUAGUGCUGUGCAGUGGAAAUGAUGCUUGCUAAUUGGCAAUGGCUCUGUGAAGCUACGUGACUGAUGCUCAUUAUACUUUUGAGCUACAUAGUCUUUCAGUGUGACUCGACCGCUCUGCCCAAAUCUCGACCAACAUUCUGUAGUUUUGUCUUAGGCAGGUGUUGACACUGGGAUAAUGUAUCAGCACAAAUUUGCUUGGAGGACAAUGAUAGCGACAAAAACAUUUGUCGUCGGACAAUGAUAGAGGAAAAAUAUUGUUGAAGUCAGAUUACUCUGCUUAAUCAAACUGCAUCAAUGUACCUUUUUUGUCCCAAGGAAAAAUGGAAGCAUGAAGC
This is a long non-coding RNA of Setaria italica (foxtail millet), 10234 nucleotides long. RefSeq lists it as uncharacterized. The transcript has 2 exons. Lineage: Eukaryota; Viridiplantae; Streptophyta; Magnoliopsida; Poales; Poaceae. The record is from RefSeq and is a predicted model, not a curated record.